CGUAAUUUUGCGUGCUGCUAUUCGCUUGUGUCAAACGGGCGCCAGACAACUCGGCGUCAAGUGGACUACUGAUCUUGGACACCUGACUUUCCCAACAUUGUUGUACUGGAAUGUCACAUCGGUCACUGGUUGAGAGCGCCUCUUGGGAGGCGCGCAUUGCCUAUCGAUUUUCUUGAUGCCUUGGGCGCAGUGCGCAUGUGUGAAGGCUUCGCAAUUCAGCGGAAGAAGAGGAUGCGUGGCCUGGUGCUGUUACGGACAAGACACAGCUGCCCACUGUGGCAGUAUCAGGAGCGGUGAAACGGCGUGUUGCGCUCCGUCGUCAUCCAUCUGUAUAUGCACGGCUGUGAUAGCAUGCGGCGAGAGCUACCCCCUCAACGUGCGGCGGAACAGCCGCGAAUGUGGCAUC
Long non-coding RNA from Rhipicephalus microplus (southern cattle tick), 406 nucleotides. The record is from RefSeq and is a predicted model, not a curated record. Lineage: Eukaryota; Metazoa; Arthropoda; Arachnida; Ixodida; Ixodidae.